ACCUGCAUUAGCAAACCAGCGGCACAUCUGCUGUUGUAAUGGUACCUGAGAUGCUUUGCGGUGGUGUUAUGAAGCUUCACAGAACUGGGGUUUCUUGCAAAAAUAAACCAGGAUCACUUAUACUGAAUUCAAGAGUGAGGCCCAAUGAUCUUAGCUGACUCAUCAGGAAGCCUUCACAUCUAUUGGAGAAAGCUUUGCUCAUCAAUUAAGUUCUUAGGAAAGUAAGUAAGCACAAAGGACACUGAGGCUAUGAUAUGCAGGAAGGAUGAUUGAAGUGUUCUGGUUUGGUUGGAAGACUGAGGUAGCUUGCCAGAGGGAAUUCAUAGGAAACCAGAACAUUUUCCCAAAGAGAAGUUUUCCAGAGCUUCUCUGCUAAUGGGAAGCAACAGCAGCUAGGAGUUGUUAUCAUCUCUUCAGUGCCCAGGCAACCUGAAUACAACCCACAGCCAGUGAGUGAAAGUGCUAAUGAGGACACCUGAAUUGAUUUGGUGGUGACAUUCAGCUGUUGAUCCAA
Molecule: long non-coding RNA, 514 nt
Organism: Melopsittacus undulatus (budgerigar)
Lineage: Eukaryota; Metazoa; Chordata; Aves; Psittaciformes; Psittaculidae
Exons: 4
Source: RefSeq, a predicted model, not a curated record